Molecule: long non-coding RNA, 1235 nt
Filed under: Scleropages formosus (Asian bonytongue)
Lineage: Eukaryota; Metazoa; Chordata; Actinopteri; Osteoglossiformes; Osteoglossidae
Description: lncRNA (ENSSFOG00015027626.1)
Source: RNAcentral
UGAUAGCAAGGGGAAACAGGACGUCCCAGGACAGAGUUCAGCUGGAAAUCGAUGACAGACGCCGUCUUUUCACUGUGACAGUGAGGGGACUGGAGAGUAAUGACAUGGGCUGGUACUGGAUCACUGCUGGAGACCAACUCCUCCCAGUGCAUAUCAAUGUGGAGUCUGAAAAUACUGUACACAAGUUGCAUCGUAUAAUAACCCUACCACUGAAAAUGACCCUUCGACAAGCUCCAUCCCGCAUAUGGCACAUUCUUCACACGGUGCUGCAUGUUGCUACUGUUCUCAUCUAUCUGAUGUGCACGGCUGUGAUACAGAACUACAGACAACAGACUGUGACAAAUGUCCAUCAGGAAGGGUCUGGAAUGAGGAAAAAUUAUGAGGAGCAGGUGAAAUUGAGGAGAAAAAAUUAGUUCAAAAUCUGAGAUUUCCUCAGAAGCUGAACUGGUUAAUCACUGCUUACGGUGUUUGCUUAUCUUGCUUUACAGUUCUGUAAAUUUAUACUAAUUACUGGUUUAUAGUUCUGUUUCAUUUCAUAUUUUAAUAUAAGAUUGUUGUCAAAUUCCAUAUAUUUGUGGUGAUGAAAAUUCUCACAUACACCUCCUCAUUGCAUCUAUGCAAAGUUUCUGCCAUAACUGAGCUAAUAAUUAUUUAUUUAACAAUAUUUGUCAAAGUUUAAAGCACACAUCUGAGUGCGUUCUGUGAGAACUAACAGUCUUGGCAGAUCUUUCCUGUCUUGGUAUGAUGUCUGUCAAAAAAGGGGAAAUUUUCAGUAGCAUAAAACAGCCGUGUCUGUAAAUACACACUCAUCCUGAGAAUCACAGGGCAGGCUGGAUUGCAUGCAACAAGCAAAAGUCCAGGCUAAUUAUAAUAUUAUUAUGUGAUUGGUUUUAUAUAUGCCACGCCCAUGCCGCCAAGCCAACGCGGAACACCUGGGGCGCGGCACAAACUGACGCAUAUUAGGCAGCGUCAGAGCAGGAGCUGAUGCGGAACCUUGUUCAGCCUUGUGACUUGCAACCGCCUUGCUGUACCUCAACUCCUUCCUCAUCUCUUACCCUGCUUCUUAGUCUUCGUGCCUCUUCACGAUUAUCGACCUCUUGUCUGUGUACCGACCUUGCCUUUUGGAUUGUCCUUUCGACGAUGUUUACACCUUAGAGACCUAUUGCCUGUUCUGUGACGAAGAUUCUCGGAUUUCCCUGAAUAAAGCCCUUAUUCCACUCCGCUCUUGGGUCCUC